Long non-coding RNA from Cyprinus carpio carpio, 2962 nucleotides. The record is from Ensembl. Lineage: Eukaryota; Metazoa; Chordata; Actinopteri; Cypriniformes; Cyprinidae.
GGAAAAAGUCUUUGAUAAUCCCUAAAUAUAUAUCCAAAUUAAAAACCUAAUAAAAGUAAGUAAUUAUGUCUGAAAACACUGUUCUUAGUAAGUAGGGAACACACGAGCUGUAUAUAUUUAUAAAUAGGGCUGUAUAGGCAUCUAGUGCCUACACUGGUUUUACAGAUGAUUUUAUUUUUUCCACCAGGUGACACUAAUCUGCCUCAAGUCAAUGGAUUUUUAAGUACUUCUAAUUUUUAACUUAAGACUAUAGGGUAUUCUAUAGUCUUUGACUGUACACUGCGCAUCCAGUCAUGAAAGCAAUGACUGUAAAAUGCGCUCAAAUAAGUGAGAACAGAUGCUGAUUAUGACCAAAUACACUUAUAAGUACAUAUUUUUUUCAGCGCAUCCCGUACAGAGAUUCAAUGCGCAAUGCGUAUGGUUGCCAUGACAACAAGCCACGCUGGCUGCUGCUCCCUGCUGUCAUAAAGCCCUUGAAUAUUAUAUUUAUUUCACGAGUUUAUGUAAUAAAAUUUAUCUAACAUUUCUUUUUCUUUUUUUGAGUAAUAAUUGUAAUAUUUAAAGCAGCUGUGUUGUUUUAAGACAAAUUUCCGAUCAGUGGGUGUUCCAUUGUUUACGUCAUUAUGAUCGCUGCAUUCCAUUAGAACGUUCGGUGAGUAGGCUACUCUAUAAAUAUGAGUGCAGAGGAAUCAGGCAUUUUGUAGCGAGUUGUGGCGAGUUAUCGUGAGUAUACUUUUUACAAUUUGGACACCUGAAUUUUUAAUCAAUGUUUUCAUAACUUGGAGAAAAAUAUGCUCUGUGCUACACAGUGGAGUGUUUACAGAUAGAAAGACAAAGUCAGUGUAUUGUUCACUUAUUUGGAUCUUCUUUUAUCAUUACAUCGAACAUCAACAUGAGUUUGUUAACCAUCACCAAAAGUUUUCCCGAGAGUACAGUGCAGUCCUCAUCUCCUGAACUCUCAGAUGAGCUCACCGCUGCCCUCGCCGCAGGGCGAUGGUGGGCAAUAAUGGAGGUUUCUUCUCCUAUAUCUGAAGAGUCUGAGUAUGGGGACUUCACCUCAGUGCAGUGGUGGGGAACAAUGGAGGAAGGAGAAACUUCAUGCCCCAAGUCUCUGGUCUUCAGUGGUGAAUCUGAGAAGGCUGAGUCCCCGCACUCAGGCUUCCCAGCUGCAACACUGAAGACCAAGGAGCUGUGGAGGCAGAAGAAGACACAGGGUGCACCCGUGCCUCCCAGGUCCCAACAGGGAGCACCUGUGCAUGCAAAUACCAAGAAGAGGGACCACACCUCAUCCCUGGUCUUCAACUAUGCAUCUAAGAAGGCUGACUCUCCACACUCAGGCUUUACAGAUGCAACAAUGAAGACCACGGAGCAGCAGAGGAAGUGGAGGCAGAAGAAGCCUCAGGGAGCACCUGUGCUUGCUGAGUCUGAGAGGGCUGAGUGUGGGGACUCAGAAUUCUCUAAUGAAAUACUGAAGACCACUAAGCAGGGGAGGCAACAGCAAAGGAAGUGGACCGAGAAGAAACCUCAGGUAGCACCUGAGCCUGCUGGGUACCCGCAGGGACCAUCUGUGACCACUGGCUCUCAACGAAGAGGAAAGGUCAUGAUCCCCGAGCAUCUGAGGCAACAUCUGCUUAGGGCCGCUUCUGAACUGGAAGCACCUGUGCAAGCUAGGUCCCCACAGAGAGCACCAGUGCCCACAGCAUCUCCUCAACACACACCCAUGUGCACCAAGUCUCUACAGACAGAAGCUAUGCCUGCCCCAAAGGUGCCAAAACCAAAGAUCCCUGAGCAGCUGAGGCAAGAGCUGCUGCAGCAGAAGCCCAACGAGACCCAAGAGAGGCAAAGGCUCAAGAUACCUGAGCGACUGAGUCAGGAGUUGCUGCAGCUGUCGACUCGAGCCUCUUCUGUUCAAGGAGCACCUGCACCCAACAAGACCCCAGAGAGGCAAAGGCUCAAGAUACCUGAGCGACUGAGUCAGGAGCUGCUGCAGCUGUCGGCUCGAGCCUCUUCUGUUCAAGGAGCACCUGUGCCUCAAAAGACCCCAGAGAGGCAAAGACUAAAACUCCCUCAGCCGCUGAGGCAGGAACUCCUGCAGGUUUCGUCUUGUGCCUCUUCUGAGAAGGGAGCACCUGUGCCUCAAAAGACCCAAGAGAGGCAAAAGCUCAAGAUGCCUGAGCGACUGAGGAAGGAGUUGCUGCAGCAGAAGCAUCAAGCCUCUCCUGUACAGGGUGCUCCCAUGCCUUCCAAGUCCCCACAGGAAGCACCUUUACCUGACAGGAACCCUGUGCAUGCCGGGACCCCACAGGGAGCAGGAGUGUUUGCAGAGGCACUGUCCGCUGAGCCUCUGAAAGGAAUAACAGUUCCCUCCAGAACCAUGAAGACAAGAAAACGGAGGCUUGCUGAGCAUCAAAGCAUUCCUGUCUCUGCCACCCAGGCACUACCCAUGCCCUCCAGGACCUCAAGCGUGACGCCUGUGCAUUCUGGGACCCUACAGGGAGCACUUGUGACCAAAAGUUCCCCACAACAGGGAUCAAAUCCCAGAAUCACUGAGCAGCAGAGGCAGAAGCGGAGGGAGCAGUGGAGACAGCAGCAGAGACAGCGGAGGCAGCAGAAAGCAUCAGACAACGUCGAUGUGUGUGAGCCGCCUCCACAAAAAAAGCUGGGUGUGGAAAUCGAAAAGGUGCAGCUGAAGCUCAAACUGGGGAAGCAUCAAGCCCCAAAGCCCAGGACCCAGCUGACCCUGAAGAUGGAUCAUGCAGCUGUGGGUCAGCAGUCACCUCCAGAAAAAAAGCAGUGCAUGGCAAACAAAAUCAAAGCCCAGCAGUUGGGACCAAGCGGCUUAAAGCAUUUAUGUAGCAUAUUCAUAUGUUUAAUUGAAUAUUUGUAAAUAUUUAUUAUUAGUAUAUAUUGUGUUUGUACAUAUUUGAUAUGAUUGUAUGCAUAAUAAAAAAUAAAAUAUAAA